RNAcentral lists this small RNA (68 nucleotides) under Salix viminalis (osier). Lineage: Eukaryota; Viridiplantae; Streptophyta; Magnoliopsida; Malpighiales; Salicaceae. The record is from RNAcentral.
UAAUGACAGGUCACAUCAUAUUAAUUAUAUAUAUAUAUAUAUAAUUAAUGUGACGUGACUUGCCAUUA